GAUGAACGCUGGCGGCGUGCCUAAUACAUGCAAGUCGAGCGAACAGACGAGGAGCUUGCUCCUCUGACGUUAGCGGCGGACGGGUGAGUAACACGUGGAUAGCCUACCUAUAAGACUGGGAUAACUUCGGGAAACCGGAGCUAAUACCGGAUAAUAUAUUGAACCGCAUGGUUCAAUAGUGAAAGACGGUUUUGCUGUCACUUAUAGAUGGAUCCGCGCCGCAUUAGCUAGUUGGUAAGGUAACGGCUUACCAAGGCAACGAUGCGUAGCCGACCUGAGAGGGUGAUCAGCCACACUGGAACUGAGACACGGUCCAGACUCCUACGGGAGGCAGCAGUAGGGAAUCUUCCGCAAUGGGCGAAAGCUUGACGGAGCAACGCCGCGUGAGUGAUGAAGGUCUUCGGAUCGUAAAACUCUGUUAUUAGGGAAGAACAAAUGUGUAAGUAACUAUGCACGUCUUGACGGUACCUAAUCAGAAAGCCACGGCUAACUACGUG
Molecule: ribosomal RNA, 497 nt
Filed under: uncultured bacterium
Lineage: Bacteria
Description: partial 16S ribosomal RNA
Rfam family: Bacterial small subunit ribosomal RNA
Source: RNAcentral